Amphiprion ocellaris (clown anemonefish) is the source of this 971-nucleotide long non-coding RNA. Lineage: Eukaryota; Metazoa; Chordata; Actinopteri; Pomacentridae. The record is from Ensembl.
CAUUGCGCCACCACAAAACGUGUGUACAUACUGCGUACGUAGCCGUUCAACAGCGUUCGCGCCGUACGGAAACCCACACAACAACAAUGGAGGACUUCAUUGGAGUGGUGUUCAUGGCUUUGCUAGUGUGUCUCGCCAUCGUUGAGCAGCAAAACCUUCUGUUAGGGGUUACCCAUCGGCGUCGCCGUUCCAAUGCCCGGCGAUCACGUUUGAGAAGAAAGAUGUUUUUAGAUGUCACCCCACCCCCUGCCCGUGACAUGCUCGGCUCUCAACUCUGGCCAAGUCUGGCCCAGCAACGAGUUGGUGCCCGAAAAAGCCCCAGUUUUUGGAGCCCGGAGCCGCAGCUCCGGUGGUGGAAAGACAAAAAACCGGCGCCAAGUCGGGCACUGGCUCCGACUCCGAACGGGCUCCACCCCGGUCGAAAGCCCCUAAGAGAGCGGAGCAUGAGCGGAGCGAGUGAGCCAGGCAACAACAAGCCUCGCUCCACACCUGCUUAUUUGGUUAAAAAAACAGGUUUCCCAGAGACUAUGGGUUGAGGAGGAAUUGGAAGUUUGUCGGCUUAGACCUGGUGUCAUUCCAUCAGUGUUAAACUUCCCGGCUCAUCUUGGAGGAGAACGUGCCAGAAAGACCAUGACCAAGCAGCCUUGAGAUCUUAGGCAGCGUCUCCCUGAGGUCCCUCUCUAUCUCCCUACACAUCCACCAACCACUGGAACACAUCUCCAAAGUUCUGCCGGGCCAGCUCAGCUUCCCCUCAGAAGAAGUGCUGCCACCUGCCAGAUGAAGGAGCCUUUUGAGAGGCAGCUGGCAUCGUGAUUGGACUGUACUUUGGUCUGUUCCAGUCCAGCUUCAGCUCCAGAGACAGCAGGCGGGACGAGUCAACGGAGGCCUGGUGGACGAAGACCAAAGAACUACAGACUCUUCACAACCUGCUCAAACUCUUGGUACAGGAUCUCACCACACGGGUCAAGAAG